Non-coding RNA from Acanthosepion pharaonis, 111 nucleotides. The record is from the annotation of a GenBank genome assembly. Lineage: Eukaryota; Metazoa; Mollusca; Cephalopoda; Sepiida; Sepiidae.
ACGGCCACAUAACGGCAAAAUACCGGUUCCCGUACGAUCACCGAAGUUAAGAAAAGUCGAGCCUGCUCACUACCUAGAAGGGUGAACGUUUGGGAAUACCAGGCGCUGUAA